GGAAUCUUCCACAAUGGGCGCAAGCCUGAUGGAGCAACGCCGCGUGAGUGAAGAAGGUUUUCGGAUCGUAAAACUCUGUUGUAAGAGAAGAACGUGUGUGAGAGUGGAAAGUUCACACAGUGACGGUAACUUACCAGAAAGGGACGGCUAACUACGUGCCAG
RNAcentral lists this ribosomal RNA (162 nucleotides) under uncultured bacterium. RNAcentral describes it as "partial 16S rRNA". It matches the Rfam family "Bacterial small subunit ribosomal RNA", at positions 358 to 511 of the family's 1533-position model. The record is from RNAcentral.